RNAcentral lists this ribosomal RNA (515 nucleotides) under uncultured bacterium. RNAcentral's name for it is "partial 16S ribosomal RNA". It matches the Rfam family "Bacterial small subunit ribosomal RNA", at positions 28 to 523 of the family's 1533-position model. The record is from RNAcentral.
GAUGAACGCUGGCGGCGUGCCUAAUACAUGCAAGUCGAGCGAAUGGAUUAAGAGCUUGCUCUUAUGAAGUUAGCGGCGGACGGGUGAGUAACACGUGGGUAACCUGCCCAUAAGACUGGGAUAACUCCGGGAAACCGGGGCUAAUACCGGAUAAUAUUUUGAACUGCAUGGUUCAAAAUUGAAAGGCGGCUUCGGAUGUCACUUAUGGAUGGACCCGCGUCGCAUUAGCUAGUUGGCGAGGUAACGGCUCACCCAGGCAACGAUGCGUAGCCGAACUGAGAGGGUGAUCGGCCACGCGGGGACUGAGACACGGCCCAGACUCCUACGGGAGGCAGCAGUAGGGCAUCUUCCGCAAUGGACGAAAGUCUGACGGAGCAACGCCGCGUGAGUGAUGAAGGCUUUCGGGUCGUAAAACUCUGUUGUUAGGGAAGAACAAGUGCUAGUUGAAUAAGCUGGCACCUUGACGGUACCUAACCAGAAAGCCACGGCUAACUACGUGCCAGCAGCCGCCGUAA